GGUAAUCAGGGGCCAGCAGCUGGGGUAAUACGGGGGUGGCGUGAGGUAAGCGGGAUUGCUGGGCGUAAAGAGGGCGCAGGCGGUUUGUUAAGCGAGAUGUGAAAGCCCUGGGCUCAACCUAGGAAUAGCAUUUCGAACUGGCGAACGAGUGUCUUGUAGAGGGGGGUAGAAUUCCAGGUGUAGCGGUGAAAUGCGUAGAGAUCUGGAGGAAUACCGGUGGCGAAGGCGGCCCCCUGGACAAAGACUGACGCUCAUGCACGAAAGCGUGGGGAGCAAACAGGAUUAGAUACCCUUGUAGUC
This 300-nucleotide ribosomal RNA is filed under the name uncultured Lactobacillus sp. RNAcentral describes it as "bacterial SSU rRNA". It matches the Rfam family "Bacterial small subunit ribosomal RNA", at positions 496 to 795 of the family's 1533-position model. The record is from RNAcentral. Lineage: Bacteria; Bacillati; Bacillota; Bacilli; Lactobacillales; Lactobacillaceae.